AAAAAGACAAAUGGAAGAAGAAAUGUAAACCAGCCAGCACCUCCGCCCGUUCAGAAAGACCCCCUGAACAAGCAUGUUUCUCAUGUAGAGUUUAGAGCUGCAUUCACUACUCUAGCUCACUCUGUAGUAGCUUAGGAUGUUCGCCCAACUGUUGUUCUGGCCAACCCAGUGGCCAAUACUACCACAGGUAGGAUUCGAG
This 199-nucleotide long non-coding RNA is filed under the name Capsicum annuum. RNAcentral describes it as "long non-coding RNA (CANN_LNC020305)". Lineage: Eukaryota; Viridiplantae; Streptophyta; Magnoliopsida; Solanales; Solanaceae. The record is from RNAcentral.